This 286-nucleotide unclassified non-coding RNA is filed under the name Hevea brasiliensis (rubber tree). Lineage: Eukaryota; Viridiplantae; Streptophyta; Magnoliopsida; Malpighiales; Euphorbiaceae. The record is from RNAcentral.
AAGAAGUCAAAACUCUUCCUAUCUGAAUGCAUUCGUGCUUGUUAAUUGCUUUUUGCCUCAAAUGUUGGAGUAUAUCUCUUGCUAUGUUCAGAUUGUAUUUUUUGUGUUGCUGUCUUUCCACAAAAGUAUUUUGGUCUUAAAAUAGAAAAUUAGUAGAAAGAUUCUGGGGUUUGUAUCUGGAGCCGAGGGUCCGUCGGAAAUAGCCUCUCUACCUCCAUGGAGUAGUGGUAAGGUCUGCGUACAUUCUACCAUGUCCAGACCUCACUUGUGGGAUUUCACUAGGUAU